Molecule: small nuclear RNA, 107 nt
Organism: Pteronotus mesoamericanus
Lineage: Eukaryota; Metazoa; Chordata; Mammalia; Chiroptera; Mormoopidae
Source: RefSeq, a predicted model, not a curated record
GUGCUCACAUCAGCAGCACAUGCACUAAAUUUGGAACGAUACAGAGAAGAUUAGCAUGGGCCCUGCGCAGGGAUGACACGUGAACUCGUGAAGCAUCCCAUAUUUUA